This 328-nucleotide ribosomal RNA is filed under the name uncultured eukaryote. RNAcentral describes it as "partial 18S ribosomal RNA". It matches the Rfam family "Eukaryotic small subunit ribosomal RNA", at positions 1470 to 1796 of the family's 1831-position model. The record is from RNAcentral.
CCCUUAGAUGUCCUGGGCCGCACGCGCGUUACACUGAUGCAUUCAACGAGCUUAUAACCUUGGCCGAGAGGCCUGGGCAAUCUUGUUAACGUGCAUCGUGAUAGGGAUAGAUUAUUGAAACUAUUAAUCUUGAACGAGGAAUUCCUAGUAAACGCAGAUCAUCAAUCUGCAUUGAUUACGUCCCUGCCCUUUGUACACACCGCCCGUCGCACCUACCGAUUGGAUGGUCCGGUGAAGCCUCGGGAUUGUGGUUCUUGCCGCUUUAUUGUGGCGUGACCGCGAGAACUUGUCUAAACCUUAUCAUCUAGAGGAAGGUGAAGUCGUAACA